This 465-nucleotide ribosomal RNA is filed under the name uncultured bacterium. RNAcentral's name for it is "partial 16S ribosomal RNA". It matches the Rfam family "Bacterial small subunit ribosomal RNA", at positions 28 to 507 of the family's 1533-position model. The record is from RNAcentral.
GACGAACGCUGGCGGCGUGCUUAACACAUGCCAGUCGUACGGUAAGGCCCUUUCGGGGGUACACGAGUGGCGAACGGGUGAGUAACACGUGAGUAACCUGCCCACAACUUUGGGAUAACGCUAGGAAACUGGUGCUAAUACUGGAUAUGUGCUCCUGCUGCAUGGUGGGGGUUGGAAAGCUCCGGCGGUUGUGGAUGGACUCGCGGCCUAUCAGCUUGUUGGUGGGGUAGUGGCCUACCAAGGCGGCGACGGGUAGCCGGCCUGAGAGGGUGACCGGCCACAUUGGGACUGAGAUACGGCCCAGACUCCUACGGGAGGCAGCAGUGGGGAAUAUUGCACAAUGGGCGCAAGCCUGAUGCAGCAACGCCGCGUGCGGGAUGACGGCCUUCGGGUUGUAAACCGUUUUCAGCAGGGACGAAGCUUUUUGUGACGGUACCUGCAGAAGAAGCACCGGCUAACUACGUG